Heterocephalus glaber (naked mole-rat) is the source of this 2190-nucleotide non-coding RNA. The record is from RefSeq and is a predicted model, not a curated record. NCBI's taxonomy places the organism in Eukaryota, Metazoa, Chordata, Mammalia, Rodentia, Bathyergidae.
AAUGUUCCUUGGUCCAUUCCUAUGUGCAGUGAAGGUUUGGGAACUACUGCUCUAGGCCAAGACUCCUCAAACGUGAAUGUGAGGAUGAGUCAGCUGGGGGUCACAAUUUCUUAUUCACUAGACCUUGAUGGUUCCGGGGUCUGCAUGUCUCGCAGAUUUACAAGUGCCACUGAUGCUAGCUGAAUGAGAAGAGCUCUGUCACAUCUCUCUGGUGGUUAUGGACCUUGGCUCACAAAAGAAGCUCCAAGCUGCUUCUUGUCUUGCAAAUUUGCAGGAAUCCUUCCUUCCUAACAUCAUUUUGUUUUCUGAGUCAGAUUUUCUUGGGAACCACUCUCCACACAGAAUCUCUGUGAGACGUCACUGACUGACACAUGGGGAGACACAGAAGGUCACCAUCUCUCUGUGCAAGUAUGUCCUCAGCCAAAAACAGACUUCCAGGGAGUGUGAGAGGCAGAUAUUUGGCUCAGACUCAAUGAAAGGGACCUGGAGAGAAAAGGGGCUGCUCCUAAAUGACACCAAGAGAGGACGGUAACUAAAGACUCCAGGCAUAGGAAAAUGGAACAACUGGUAAUAAAGGAGACACGUGGAAGAGCGAAAUAAAAAUGCAUCUUUAUAAUGGUUCCAGGGCCUGGGGCAGAUUGAACCUUUUGCUCCCUCCUAAAUGUCAUACAUGACUGGAUUUUUAUUGCAAGAAUUAUCAAAGGCUAUGUCACCAGCACAAGGCAACAGGAGACUACAGCUCCAGGAUGCUGCAUGCUACACCUGGAAGUACAUGGAUAAGACGAGUGUAUGUUCUCAUAUCCAAAGAUUCAGACUUACUCAAUGCCCUAAAGAAUUCUUAGUAAUCACAGUCAAGUAAAGAUAUCAUCCUGUCACAUGAAAAGCUUAGCUUUCUUUGGAUUAGCUUCAACAUGUCUAAGUAUGUACAUCAAAAUAACCAACAGAGUAUGAAAAUACACAAGGAUUUGCUCAAUCCUAGCUGCACCUGUGUAUCAAAUCGUUUGUUUUAAAAUCAUACUCAAGCCCAGCUUCCCUCACCUUUGGAGAUUUUCUUCUUACUGCUCGGAGGUCCUAUCUGGAUCCUGAGUGCGUGAGUACAUGCCUGUGUACAGGUACAGUACAUGUGAAUGUGUGUGUGUCGGGGGGAGGGUGUGGGUGUGGGUGUUGGUGUGGGUUUGUUGGGAGUAUUUUUUUUUUUUUCUUGCUUUUUAGUUUAGUUCUCUAGGUGCUUAAAGUUCAGUCAGGGCAGAAAAAUUACCAGCCUAAGGCUAAGUAGAUAAUUAUGAUAAAGACUGGUGAAAAGCUCCCUUAUAUCCAGGACAAUGUAUUUUCUAUUUUGCUCUAUUGGGUAUUGAUAUUUAACAGAAUAUAAAAAUGAAAACUUUUCUUGGAAGUUUAUAAAAACUUACACAUAUUUUAAGGCCUUCUUGAAUCUCUCAAAGGCAGAAGAGGGUGACUUAAUUAACCUGACAAAGAUACAUAAGCAGAUUGGAAGAAAUGACUAGGAAAGCACAGUCCAUAGCAGUUGGGUCUAUGUCUGUCAUGUUGAACACUCAUUCUACCCCUAGGAUCUAGGGCAUUUUUUGGAUUAUGGUAGAUGAAUUAAUAAAACACGUUGUCCACUGGAAAGGGACUGUUGUAUGUGGUAAGAAGGUAGAUUUUGCUUAUACGGUAAAUUCUUUGGCCCUUGUGCACUGCAAAUUGUAACUUAACACCAAUCACCUCCUUGUAGUUGCAGCACAGGCCCUAGUUAGCAACUGACAUAGUCACUGUAUCCACACUCACAGUCCUGCCUGGCCACCUGCUUUGUGAUGACAGACAGAUUACCUGUGACACUGCAGGAACCUGAACCACACAGAGAUGACAAUCUGACCAGGCCUCAGGCUUGAGCCUGGAAACUGACCCUUUGUUACUUAUCUCAGGAAUUACUAAUAAGCUCUCAUUUGGCUUCAUUUAAAAACAAGUCAGAAAAUCUCUUAUUUCCUCACUAAGUUCAUUAAGUAUGUACUUUAUGAUUGUCAUGCUUAAAUUUUUGAAAAUUAAGUUUUAAGAAUUAAGGAAUUCUGAGCUUUCUGAUUAUGUUCAUCCAGUCAUCAUAGAACUCAUUUAAGGUGAAAACAUUUGGGCAAAACAGAGAAAAAUAAAAGGCAGGUCAUAAUCAUCAUAUUAAUUCAUUUGUUCAUUCAUUUU